Molecule: ribosomal RNA, 254 nt
Filed under: uncultured bacterium
Lineage: Bacteria
Description: partial 16S ribosomal RNA
Rfam family: Bacterial small subunit ribosomal RNA
Source: RNAcentral
CGGAGGGAGCUAGCGUUGUUCGGAAUUACUGGGCGUAAAGCGCACGUAGGCGGUUACUCAAGUCAGAGGUGAAAGCCCGGGGCUCAACCCCGGAACUGCCUUUGAAACUAGGUAACUAGAAUCCUGGAGAGGUGAGUGGAAUUCCGAGUGUAGAGGUGAAAUUCGUAGAUAUUCGGAAGAACACCAGUGGCGAAGGCGGCUCACUGGACAGGUAUUGACGCUGAGGUGCGAAAGCGUGGGGAGCAAACAGGAUU